UACGGGAGGCAGCAGUCGGGAAUAUUGCGCAAUGGAGGAAACUCUGACGCAGUGACGCCGCGUAUAGGAAGAAGGUUUUCGGAUUGUAAACUAUUGUCGUAGGGGAAGAUAAAAGACAGUACCCUAGGAGGAAGCUCCGGCUAACUACGUGCCAGCAGCCGCGGUAAU
This 168-nucleotide ribosomal RNA is filed under the name uncultured rumen bacterium. RNAcentral's name for it is "partial 16S ribosomal RNA". It matches the Rfam family "Bacterial small subunit ribosomal RNA", at positions 340 to 524 of the family's 1533-position model. The record is from RNAcentral.